UCUGCGGGUUAGUUGUGAGGUGCACGCACAUGUCGUAUUCUCUGCUUCCUCUAACUCUAUUUGUGAUCACGGAGCACGGCAUUGUUGAAGUCUUAUCUGACCCGGCUCCCAACUUCCCGGCAGAUGAAGUGCAACAUACUACUACGUGUUCUCUAGAGUGUGUCGUCGCUACUUACACACACGAGGUCAGCAGUGGGCGGCAAACCAUUGAAACUUGAGCCCGUGGAGCCCAGGUACAUGGUGUAGGCAGCGCACCACGGCGGUCUGCUGGGCGUGGCGAACAUGACCCUGGACGAGGUCAAGUUAUGCGAGCUGCAUAAACACGGACAAACGGACGCAAACCCAAUCAAGAGGCUGAGAGGAUGCUGGCAGAGAGAGAGAGACACAACAUUUGCAUCACCGGCAGACGUGAUU
RNAcentral lists this unclassified non-coding RNA (414 nucleotides) under Portunus trituberculatus (swimming crab). RNAcentral describes it as "uncharacterized LOC123515015, transcript variant X5". The record is from RNAcentral. Lineage: Eukaryota; Metazoa; Arthropoda; Malacostraca; Decapoda; Portunidae.